AGAGUUUGAUCCUGGCUCAGAUCGAACGCUGGCGGAAUGCUUUACACAUGCAAGUCGAGCGGCAGCGCGGGGGCAACCCUGGCGGCGAGCGGCGAACGGGUGAGUAACACAUCGGAACGUACCCCGUCGUGGGGGAUAACGAGUCGAAAGAUUCGCUAAUACCGCAUACGACCUGAGGGUGAAAGCGGGGGACCUGCAAGGGCCUCGCGCGAUGGGAGCGGCCGAUGUCCGAUUAGCUAGUUGGUGGGGUAAGAGCCUACCAAGGCGACGAUCGGUAGCUGGUCUGAGAGGAUGAUCAGCCACACUGGGACUGAGACACGGCCCAGACUCCUACGGGAGGCAGCAGUGGGGAAUUUUGGACAAUGGGCGCAAGCCUGAUCCAGCCAUUCCGCGUGAGUGAAGAAGGCCUUCGGGUUGUAAAGCUCUUUCGGCCGGGAAGAAAUCGGGCAGGUGAAUAAUCUGCCUGGAUGACGGUACCGGAAGAAGAAGCACCGGCUAACUACGUGCCAGCAGCCGCGGUAAUACGUAGGGUGCGAGCGUUAAUCGGAAUUACUGGGCGUAAAGCGUGCGCAGGCGGCUUUGUAAGACAGGUGUGAAAUCCCCGGGCUUAACCUGGGAAUGGCGCUUGUGACUGCAAGGCUUGAGUUCGGCAGAGGGGGGUGGAAUUCCACGUGUAGCAGUGAAAUGCGUAGAGAUGCGGAGGAACACCGAUGGCGAAGGCAGCCCCCUGGGUCGCGACUGACGCUCAUGCACGAAAGCGUGGGGAGCAAACAGGAUUAGAUACCCUGUAGUCCACGCCCUAAACGAUGUCGACUAGGUGUUGGGGAAGGAGGCUUCUUUAGUACCGUAGCUAACGCGUGAAGUCGACCGCCUGGGGAGUACGGUCGCAAGAUUAAAACUCAAAGGAAUUGACGGGGACCCGCACAAGCGGUGGAUGAUGUGGAUUAAUUCGAUGCAACGCGAAAAACCUUACCUACCCUUGACAUGCCAGGAACCUUGCUGAGAGGUGAGGGUGCCCGAAAGGGAGCCUGGACACAGGUCCUGCAUGGCUGUCGUCAGCUCGUGUCGUGAGAUGUUGGGUUAAGUCCCGCAACGAGCGCAACCCUUGUCGCUAAUUGCCAUCAUUCAGUUGGGCACUUUAGCGAGACUGCCGGUGACAAACCGGAGGAAGGUGGGGAUGACGUCAAGUCCUCAUGGCCCUUAUGGGUAGGGCUUCACACGUCAUACAAUGGUCGGUACAGAGGGCUGCUAACCCGCGAGGGGGCGCUAAUCUCGCAAAGCCGAUCGUAGUCCGGAUUGCAGUCUGCAACUCGACUGCAUGAAGUCGGAAUCGCCAGUAAUCGUGGAUCAGCAUGUCACGGUGAAUACG
RNAcentral lists this ribosomal RNA (1369 nucleotides) under metagenome. RNAcentral's name for it is "bacterial SSU rRNA". It matches the Rfam family "Bacterial small subunit ribosomal RNA", at positions 8 to 1370 of the family's 1533-position model. The record is from RNAcentral.